Molecule: ribosomal RNA, 1306 nt
Filed under: uncultured bacterium
Lineage: Bacteria
Description: bacterial SSU rRNA
Rfam family: Bacterial small subunit ribosomal RNA
Source: RNAcentral
AACGUACGCUGGCGGCACGCCUAACACAUGCAAGUCGAACGAAGUAGCAAUACUUAGUGGCAGACGGGUGAGUAACAUGUAGGUAUCUGCCCUUUGGCCUGGAAUAACACGAGGAAACUUGUGCUAAUACCGGAUAAGUCUUUACGGAGAAAGCUUUAUGCACCAUUGGAUGAGCCUGCACUUGAUUAGUUUGUUGGUGGGGUAAUGGCCUACCAAGACUGUGAUCAAUAGCUGAUUUGAGAGGAUGAUCAGCCGCAUUGGGACUGAGACACGGCCCAAACUCCUACGGGAGGCAGCAGUGGGGAAUCUUGCACAAUGGAGGAAACUCUGAUGCAGCGAUGCCGCGUGAGUGAAGAAGGCCCUUGGGUUGUAAAGCUCUUUCGUCGGGGAAGAAAAUGACUGUACCCGAAUAAGAAGGUCCGGCUAACUUCGUGCCAGCAGCCGCGGUAAUACGAAGGGACCUAGCGUAGUUCGGAAUUACUGGGCUUAAAGAGUUCGUAGGUGGUUGAAAUAGUUGGUGGUGAAAUCCCAGAGCUUAACUCUGGAACUGCCAUCAAAACUUUUCAGCUAGAGUAUGAUAGAGGAAAGCAGAAUUUCUAGUGUAGAGGUGAAAUUCGUAGAUAUUAGAAAGAAUACCAAUUGCGAAGGCAGCUUUCUGGAUCAUUACUGACACUGAGGAACGAAAGCAUGGGUAGCGAAGAGGAUUAGAUACCCUCGUAGUCCAUGCCGUAAACGAUGUGUGUUAGACGUUGGAAAUUUAUUUUCAGUGUCGCAGGGAAACCGAUAAACACACCGCCUGGGGAGUACGACCGCAAGGUUAAAACUCAAAUGAAUUGACGGGGACCCGCACAAGUAGUGGAGCAUGUGGUUUAAUUCGAAGAUACGCGCAGAACCUUACCAACACUUGACAUGUUCGUCGCGACUCUAAGAGAUUAGAGUUUUCGGUUCGGCCGGACGAAACACAGGUGCUGCAUGGCUGUCGUCAGCUCGUGUCGUGAGAUGUUGGGUUAAGUCCCGCAACGAGCGCAACCCUCACUUUUAGUUGCCAUCAUUAAGUUGGGCACUCUGAAAGAACUGCCAGUGAUAAGCUGGAGGAAGGUGGGGAUGACGUCAAGUCCUCAUGGCCCUUACGUGUUGGGCUACACACGUGCUACAAUGGUAUCUACAACAGGAAGCAAGACUGCGAAGUUAAGCAAAUCCCUAAAAGAUACCUCAGUUCGGAUUGCACUCUGCAACUCGAGUGCAUGAAGCUGGAAUUACUAGUAAUCGUGGAUCAGCGUGCCACGGUGAAUGCGUUCCCGGGUCU